This 29-nucleotide small RNA is filed under the name Bombyx mori (domestic silkworm). RNAcentral's name for it is "ovarian small RNA-3233". Lineage: Eukaryota; Metazoa; Arthropoda; Insecta; Lepidoptera; Bombycidae. The record is from RNAcentral.
UCACUUCUCCAUCGAAGGACAGGCCAAAA